AUGUUGUUUAAUCUCCAGAAAGAAAUUCUUAUCUUUGUUUCAUUCUUUUGUUUUUCCAAUUUAGAAAAAAACAAAGAUGGAACUCAUGUGGUCACAAGAAAUCCUUCUUUUUUAAACAAUAAAGGACAACUGGAUAAGAAAGUCAAGAGUGGUCAAUUGGAAGAACAUACCGAGGCCACACAGCCUGAUCUGCAAACACAGAUUCCUUCUAAAGGACCAGAAUCAGAGAAAAUGGAGGAUGAAGAAGCAAAGUCUGCUGAUGAAAGUUCGACCCAGAUCAUACCGCACAAGCCACCUGCUGAAGAACAAAAGCAAGAUGUAAUCUCAGAUCAGGACACUGAAAAAACUAUAGAGGAAACUGAAAAGGAAAAAGAAGAAAAGAAAUCAGAUGGCAUGAGAGAAAAAGGAGAGCUACCAACAAGUUCUGGUCAGACAGACUCAGAGGAAGAGACAGAUGAGGAAGCACAUCCUGCCACUAAAACUAGUAUUUUUCCUUCCCCUGAUGACGUGAGAGAAGAGGACGAGUCUCCCACCACUCCUACACAGACAGAAAAAAACAAAGAUGGAACUCAUGUGGUCACAAGAAAUCCUUCUUUUUUAAACAAUAAAGGACAACUGGAUAAGAAAGUCAAGAGUGGUCAAUUGGAAGAACAUACCGAGGCCACACAGCCUGAUCUGCAAACACAGAUUCCUUCUAAAGGACCAGGUUUGAAAAUUAAACUAUGCCAGUUAGAUUCAGAAUAA
This is a long non-coding RNA of Oreochromis niloticus (Nile tilapia), 744 nucleotides long. The record is from Ensembl. Lineage: Eukaryota; Metazoa; Chordata; Actinopteri; Cichliformes; Cichlidae.